GAUGAACGCUGGCGGCGUGCCUAAUACAUGCAAGUCGAGCGAACGGACGAGAAGCUUGCUUCUCUGAUGUUAGCGGCGGACGGGUGAGUAACACGUGGAUAACCUACCUAUAAGACUGGGAUAACUUCGGGAAACCGGAGCUAAUACCGGAUAAUAUUUUGAACCGCGUGGUUCAAAAGUGAAAGACGGUCUUGCUGUCACUUAUAGAUGGAUCCGCGCUGCAUUAGCUAGUUGGUAAGGUAACGGCUUACCAAGGCAACGAUGCAUAGCCGACCUGAGAGGGUGAUCGGCCACACUGGAACUGAGACACGGACCAGACUCCUACGGGAGGCAGCAGUAGGGAAUCUUCCGCAAUGGGCGAAAGCCUGACGGAGCAACGCCGCGUGAGUGAUGAAGGUCUUCGGAUCGUAAAACUCUGUUAUUAGGGAAGAACAUAUGUGUAAGUAACUGUGCACAUCUUGACGGUACCUAAUCAGAAAGCCACGGCUAACUACGUG
RNAcentral lists this ribosomal RNA (497 nucleotides) under uncultured bacterium. RNAcentral describes it as "partial 16S ribosomal RNA". It matches the Rfam family "Bacterial small subunit ribosomal RNA", at positions 28 to 507 of the family's 1533-position model. The record is from RNAcentral.